Molecule: ribosomal RNA, 445 nt
Filed under: uncultured bacterium
Lineage: Bacteria
Description: bacterial SSU rRNA
Rfam family: Bacterial small subunit ribosomal RNA
Source: RNAcentral
GCGCUCCGAUGCUCUAGAUUACGCGAAGACCUUACCUAGGCUUGACAGUUGGGGAAAUCUGGCAGAGAUGCCAGGUCCGUAAGGGCCCCAAAACAGGUGGUGCAUGGCUGUCGUCAGCUCGUGUCGUGAGAUGUUGGGUUAAGUCCCGCAACGAGCGCAACCCUCGUCGUAUGUUGCCAGCGGAUAAUGCCGGGGACUCAUACGAGACUGCCGGGGUCAACUCGGAGGAAGGUGGGGACGACGUCAAGUCAUCAUGCCCCUUAUGUCUAGGGCUGCACGCAUGCUACAAUGGCCGGUACAAAGGGCUGCGAUACCGCGAGGUGGAGCGAAUCCCAUAAAGCCGGUCUCAGUUCGGAUUGGGGUCUGCAACUCGACCCCAUGAAGUCGGAGUCGCUAGUAAUCGCAGAUCAGCAACGCUGCGGUGAAUACGUUCCCGGGUCUUGUA